RNAcentral lists this ribosomal RNA (272 nucleotides) under uncultured prokaryote. Its description in RNAcentral is "partial 16S ribosomal RNA". It matches the Rfam family "Bacterial small subunit ribosomal RNA", at positions 524 to 796 of the family's 1533-position model. The record is from RNAcentral.
UACAGAGGGUGCGAGCGUUAAUCGGAAUUACUGGGCGUAAAGGGCGCGUAGGCGGUUAUAUAAGUUGAAUGUGAAAUCCCUGGGCUUAACCUAGGAACUGCAUGCAAGACUGUAUGACUCGAGUGCUGUAGAGGGUAGUGGAAUUUCCGGUGUAGCGGUGAAAUGCGUAGAUAUCGGAAGGAACACCAGUGGCGAAGGCGGCUACCUGGACAGACACUGACGCUGAGGCGCGAGAGCGUGGGGAGCAAACAGGAUUAGAUACCCCGUAGUCC